This is a long non-coding RNA of Cotesia glomerata, 204 nucleotides long. RefSeq lists it as uncharacterized. Lineage: Eukaryota; Metazoa; Arthropoda; Insecta; Hymenoptera; Braconidae. The transcript is spliced from 3 exons. The record is from RefSeq and is a predicted model, not a curated record.
ACAAUAAGUAAUUAUUUUAUUCCCUUUUUGGAGUUUACUCCUUAAGAAUCGAUUUUCAUAUAAGACGCCCGGUAUGAGAAAAAUAUGGAAAGUAAAACCUACUCAUCAAAUGGGAUAGUAACGUUUUUGGUGCGCAUCAUUUCUCGCGCACCUUUCACUUUUCAGUUGUGUGUGUGUGUGUGUGUGUGUGUGUGUGUGUGUGUG